RNA transcript from Salvelinus sp. IW2-2015, 504 nucleotides. It is a transcript of the gene named galactose-specific lectin nattectin-like, with no coding region annotated. Lineage: Eukaryota; Metazoa; Chordata; Actinopteri; Salmoniformes; Salmonidae. The record is from RefSeq and is a predicted model, not a curated record.
GUUUGUUUCCUGUCUCUGUGGUUGUCUGCACCAGAUAGGAGGGUCUUUGGCUUUGGAACGACGGGUCCAGGUUUAGCUACCAGAACUGCGGCCAGGGGCAACCCGAUAACCACAACUAUGGUGCAGUGAACGACAACACGAAUGGCCGUGAGCAUUGCAUGGAGAUGAACUACGGAGGUGACCGUGGCUUGAAUGAUGCACCCUGCCGGAUUCAACGGCCAUUCAUGUGUUCCAGAAAAAUGUGAUUUCUACAGAUUAGUUGAGAAUACGUUAUAUCGUUACUCCCCUGGUUCGUCUGUCAUCAUGUUUAGUGUACUUUUAUAUUCUUGUUGAUUUUAAUGUGGGAUUAUAUUGUUUUUCUAUCUUGAUGAUUAUUGCUGAUUCAGUAAAGUGACCUUGGAUGUCUUGAAAAGCGCUUAAAAUAUAUCAUUAUUGUUUUWAUUAUUAYAUCUGAGACCCUCUCRGGAUAUGKGAUUCUUCAAUAAAGCCACAGUCUGUAAUAUU